CCUACGGGAGGCAGCAGUGGGGAAUAUUGGACAAUGGGCGCAAGCCUGAUCCAGCCAUGCCGCGUGAGUGAUGAAGGCCUUAGGGUUGUAAAGCUCUUUUAGCGGGGACGAUAAUGACGGUACCCGCAGAAAAAGCCCCGGCCAACUUCGUGCCAGCAGCCGCGGUAAUACGAAGGGGGCUAGCGUUGCUCGGA
RNAcentral lists this ribosomal RNA (194 nucleotides) under uncultured bacterium. RNAcentral describes it as "partial 16S ribosomal RNA". It matches the Rfam family "Bacterial small subunit ribosomal RNA", at positions 338 to 549 of the family's 1533-position model. The record is from RNAcentral.